RNAcentral lists this non-coding RNA (30 nucleotides) under Mus musculus (house mouse). The record is from RNAcentral. Lineage: Eukaryota; Metazoa; Chordata; Mammalia; Rodentia; Muridae.
UCACGAAUGAUUUUAGUAGGGACACAGAUU